GUGGGGAAUAUUGGACAAUGGGCGAAAGCCUGAUCCAGCCAUGCCGCGUGUGUGAAGAAGGUCUUCGGAUUGUAAAGCACUUUAAGUUGGGAGGAAGGGCAUUAACCUAAUACGUUAGUGUUUUGACGUUACCGACAGAAUAAGCACCGGCUAACUUCGUGCCAGCAGCCGCGGUAAUACGAAGGGUGCAAGCGUUAAUCGGAAUUACUGGGCGUAAAGCGCGCGUAGGUGGUUCGUUAAGUUGGAUGUGAAAGCCCCGGGCUCAACCUGGGAACUGCCUCCAAAACUGCAUGACUAGAGUACGGUAGAGGGUAGUGGAAUUUCCUGUGUAGCGGUGAAAUGCGUAGAUAUAGGAAGGAACACCAGUGGCGAAGGCGACUACCUGGACUGAUACUGACACUGAGGUGCGAAAGCGUGGGGAGCAAACAGGAUUAGAUACCCUUGUAGUCC
RNAcentral lists this ribosomal RNA (450 nucleotides) under uncultured bacterium. RNAcentral describes it as "bacterial SSU rRNA". It matches the Rfam family "Bacterial small subunit ribosomal RNA", at positions 354 to 796 of the family's 1533-position model. The record is from RNAcentral.